RNAcentral lists this ribosomal RNA (577 nucleotides) under Theileria velifera. RNAcentral's name for it is "SSU rRNA". It matches the Rfam family "Eukaryotic small subunit ribosomal RNA", at positions 499 to 1111 of the family's 1831-position model. The record is from RNAcentral. Lineage: Eukaryota; Apicomplexa; Aconoidasida; Piroplasmida; Theileriidae.
UGUCUUGUAAUUGGAAUGAUGGGAAUUUAAACCUCUUCCAGAGUAUCAAUUGGAGGGCAGUCUGGUGCCAGCAGCCGCGGUAAUUCCAGCUCCAAUAGCGUAUAUUAAAAUUGUUGCAGUUAAAAAGCUCGUAGUUGAAUUUCUGCUACAUUGCCUAUUCUCCUUUACGAGUUUGGGUCUUUUGUGGCUUAUCUGGGUUCGCUUGCGUUCCCGGUGUUUUACUUUGAGAAAAUUAGAGUGCUCAAAGCAGGCUUUUGCCUUGAAUAGUUUAGCAUGGAAUAAUAAAGUAGGACUUUGGUUCUAUUUUGUUGGUUUUAGGUACCAAAGUAAUGGUUAAUAGGAACAGUUGGGGGCAUUCGUAUUUAACUGUCAGAGGUGAAAUUCUUAGAUUUGUUAAAGACGAACUACUGCGAAAGCAUUUGCCAAGGAUGUUUUCAUUAAUCAAGAACGAAAGUUAGGGGAUCGAAGACGAUCAGAUACCGUCGUAGUCCUAACCAUAAACUAUGCCGACUAGAGAUUGGAGGUCGUCAGUUUUUACGACUCCUUCAGCACCUUGAGAGAAAUCAAAGUCUUUGGG